GAAUCAUAGAUCGUCCACUGUUUGUUGAUCAGAUGUCACUCCAAUAUGUAUUAGGGCAACUGGGCACGAAUCUUGAAGCGCGCAGCAGAGGCACCGUGCCUGCUUUUUAUUCUCCGUGAGCUGCGCAACAGAGAGGGAGAGGGGAGAGCGAGAGGGAGGAGAAGGGGACUAGUGCGCCGUUACCGAGGGCGGGCAUGCUUCCUCCCCUUCUCCUCUACCUCCUACGCCGACGAGUUCUGCCGUCGGAAGUGAGCGCUCCUUUCGGGAGUGUGUGUGUGUGUGUGUAAUAUAUAUAUGUUCAAGAGGCGAUGACGAUGAAACCUUCCUUGGGGGAGGCGGUGGCGGGGCAGCUCGGAUGGCUUUGCCGCUGCUCCGCAGGGCAAGCAACCGCUGCAGCCACUCCUCCAACAGAGAACGGAUGGUUUGUUCUCCAACCUGUCCGUGAUGGAUCAAAGGCGAAUCCGAGCCUCCCCUUCUUCCUCCUGUUUCCGUCCUUCAAGAUCAUUCCAAUAUAUUCUUUUUCUCUACAAUCUUUCUUCCAUUUUCUUUCUUUUGGAUCACAUUCAGUCUGAAGCUUGAUUCUUUCUACGGGUAAUCGAUUCAGCAUUCCUGCUUCGAUUUUAGGUUGUUGAUCUAUAUUUAGGGUUCUUCUUUUUACAAGAUUUCCUUUUUGUUUAUGGUGCGGUGUGUGUCUGAUUUCCAAUUCGUUUAGAAUUUCUGGUUUCGAACUCUGCAUUUUAAUUUUUGUGAUUGGUUGGUGUGGCUAAUAGAUGCCUACAUUUUUAGGGUUUCAAUUUAUAGUGUUUCAUGGAUUUGGAAUGACCUAAGGCAGGCAAGGAACUUCGAACCCCAAGGCUUGCAUGACUAGGGUUUCAAUCUAUGGUAUUUCGUGGAUUUGGUCGUUCUAUUCUUUUUGUUGUGUUGCAACCCCCAAAUUUAUUCUGAUAUUAUAAGCUUCGAAUAAAAUAAUCGAGACUUCAAUUCAAGCCGAGAGAGGGUGGCCGUAGCAGAGUCUGACAUUGAUGAGACGUGUCGGGCUCUUGCUGGACGUGAUGAGUAUCCGCUCCUUCCUUAUCUAAUAAAAAUACUGUUUAUCUAAUAAAAAUACGACUUUGAUGAACAGAUUCGACUGCUUGCAAAUUCCUUAAUGCAAACUAACAUUAUCUUUGGGCAAUUGCCCAAAAUAAAUCUUCAAGAUCUGGGGUUUCCAUCUUCACGUUCUACGAUGGCUUUAUGCAAUCUUCACGUUUUGAUGUCCUGUUUCGUACCCAUUUUUUCGGUUCUUCGAGACCUUUUUGUACCUCUUUGCCUUUUGCAGCCAUCUCUUGGUUCUGUUAUUCAGAAGUCUCUUACAUGCCGAUGUGGGAUCGCGUGGGCUUUGAAAUUUUUGGCCGUGUAAGUUCAAAAAGUUCUUCUUUGGAUAAUGUUCAGUGUCCCAAAGUUCCCUCCUAAAUAACUCUCUCAUCCAGUGUCAGAUUUUAUGGAUAUGAACCCUAUUCUGCUAAAUUCAGUGAUUUGUUUUAUAUUCAUAUCUACUAGAUCAUAUUCUGCCAAAUAAUUUGGAAGUAUAUUAUUCUCAUUAUUUUAUGACUAUUCUGGAACCCUUUGUGCAUAUCUUCUGAAUACGCAUGAUAUCAAAUGUUGUGUGUAGAUGAAAACACUUGUAUAUGGGUAAUAUCACCUAUAAAUGGCUGCAUGUUAUGUUCCGUGCUCAAAAUUUUGCCAACAAACGAUUAUGUGGAGGCUCUAAUUUACUUGUUAUUGCCAGUUUUCCUAGUACAUGUUUUUAGCCCUUUUUCAAAUAACAAGUUUUUUCUCCUGCCUUCUGUUUUUUUAAAUAUUUUAUAAAGUUUGAGCAAUUGUUCCAUCAGCCAACUGACUGAAAUCCAGCCUUGGCCAGGCUGAUGGCCAGUUGGGUUUGAUAUAUAUUGUUUGAAAGGCAGCUCAUUGGAUCUUGGUUAACCCAUGGUUAUCCUCCUGUCUUUGGAUUCCUCUCUCUCUCUCUCUCCCUCGCGCCCCCCCCCCCCCCCCCCCCCCUAGGAGUUGGCUGUGGUGGUGGAAUUUUUCAUGUUUUCUAUCUUUUUUUAUACAAGGAGGUGAUGAUGAUUUACUUGGAAAGGGCAAAACUUUGUUAUUAUGUCUUUGCUGCCGUUGUUGUUGUUGUUGCUGCUGUUUGUUUUACCCUAUUGUGGUAACUAUGGUGGUCCAACAAUUGGGUGCUGUAAUAAGACUGGCGAGGCAAGACUUGGAUGGGCUCUUACUCUGUGAGCAACCAGUUGCAGCCAUGUCUUAUUUCAGUUAGAAGGAAAAGUCCUGCUUGCUCUAAUUGAUCCUGACAAACUGUGGUAUGGGAGCAUGCAAAGAACUGGACAUAUAUAUAUACAUAUAUACAUACAUAUAUAUAUUCACCCUUCCUUGUCAUACUCAAUGUUUGAAAAGAUGAGUAAAUCUGAGCCUCCUCUGGUCAACAUAUUUGGUGAACUUUUUGAAGUAGUAAAAUAGUUUCAAGAUGGGCAAAUCUAAGAUUAUGUACUCCAUUGUCAUGUUCGGACAGAUUUUUCAAUUCUUAAGUACAAAUGAUGAUGGGUAGGGUACACGAAUGAAUUUUGUUGUAUCUGUUUCCAAACUUAGCUAUCUUUUAUUAUCUAUUUUCUGAGAUAUACCCAUGACUAACUACUGAGAUACCCAAAUCCUCCUCAGCUCUCUAUUUUCUGUCUUGUACUCAUUCCAAACUCAAUUUACAGGUAUCUUGUUGUAGCUUAAGGGGCUUAGCCCUUAGGUAUGCACAGAGUACAUGAAAAACUCUGACCUGCUGCCAUCUAGAAAUGGAAAUGGGAAUAUGACAAAAUUUUCACUCUUUUUGUUAGCAAAGCCUUCUUGAAACGUAACAUCUUCCUAUAGGCAUCGUACAGGCCAUUAACGAGAAAUUGAUUCUGCUUUCUUUUUUGUUAAUAAUUUUUUGUUUUUUCUUUAUACCUGAGCUCAUUUUCCAUUGUGGUAGAUGUCUUUGGUACUAAAGUUGCUCUUUAUGUGAAAUUAUUCAACUUUAGUACUUAGAAAAUUGUCUUGUUUACCACAUUGUGCUUAGUGUUUGACAGGAUCUGCAUAUCGAGUGUAUGAAUUCUCAAACUUACAAACUACUGUGUGCAGAAGAGAUGCCCGGAACAAAAGUUCUUUGAUGUAUUGUCAGUCAUCUUUUAUAUCUUUUCAGAAGCUACAGAUUGGAUGUGGCCUGAAUCAGUGGGCGUUAUCUAGUUGCAAUAAGACCGAGUCAGCGCAAUUCAAAGCCUAAGGCCACCUGCAUGCUUGAAAUGAAAUAUGCACUGCUGUUUUAUCAACUUGAAAGCGCAAGUCUCUUUGAAUCUGUACCUAUUCUCCUGUUUUAGACUACUCGUUCUUGUUGCUACUGGUGAUUGGUUUUGCAAUUCUCAACGACAUUAAACUGAA
Long non-coding RNA from Musa acuminata AAA Group (dessert banana), 3447 nucleotides. RefSeq lists it as uncharacterized. Lineage: Eukaryota; Viridiplantae; Streptophyta; Magnoliopsida; Zingiberales; Musaceae. The record is from RefSeq and is a predicted model, not a curated record. The transcript has 2 exons.